RNAcentral lists this unclassified non-coding RNA (251 nucleotides) under uncultured Pyrenochaeta. RNAcentral describes it as "sequence contains ITS2". Lineage: Eukaryota; Fungi; Ascomycota; Dothideomycetes; Pleosporales; Pleosporaceae. The record is from RNAcentral.
AACGCACAUUGCGCCCCUUGGUAUUCCAUGGGGCAUGCCUGUUCGAGCGUCAUUUGUACCCUCAAGCUUUGCUUGGUGAUGGGUGUUUGUUCCGCUGCAACGCGUGAACUCGCCUCAAACCAAUUGGCAGCCGGCAAUCUGGUGUUUGAGCGCAGCACAUUUUGCGCUCUUCGCUGUGUAUUGCGGGCGUCCAUGAAGCCUAUAUUUUCACGCUUGACCUCGGAUCAGGUAGGGAUACCCGCUGAACUUAA